RNAcentral lists this transfer RNA (69 nucleotides) under Actinopyga lecanora. RNAcentral describes it as "tRNA-Met". It matches the Rfam family "tRNA". Rfam says of the family: Transfer RNA (tRNA) molecules are approximately 80 nucleotides in length. Their secondary structure includes four short double-helical elements and three loops (D, anti-codon, and T loops). Further hydrogen bonds mediate the characteristic L-shaped molecular structure. tRNAs have two regions of fundamental functional importance: the anti-codon, which is responsible for specific mRNA codon recognition, and the 3' end, to which the tRNAs corresponding amino acid is attached (by aminoacyl-tRNA synthetases). tRNAs cope with the degeneracy of the genetic code in two manners: having more than one tRNA (with a specific anti-codon) for a particular amino acid; and 'wobble' base-pairing, i.e. permitting non-standard base-pairing at the 3rd anti-codon position. Lineage: Eukaryota; Metazoa; Echinodermata; Holothuroidea; Aspidochirotida; Holothuriidae. The record is from RNAcentral.
UGUAAAGUAAGCUAACAAAGCUCCCGGACUCAUAUUUCGGAAAUAGAGGUGAAAACCCUCUCUUUACUA